CAUUACCAUCCUCCAUCAAUCAAUGGGAAAAUUUGGUUGACUUAACGUGUACAGGCUGUAAAGGUUUGACAUUGCUUCCUUUGACAGGUUUGUCCCGCUUACAGCGUAUGACAUUAGAUGAUUGUGGUAUAAUAGAAAUUCCCCAGAGUCUUGGGCUUUUAGUCUCAUUGACAUCCUUAAGUUUAACUGAAAACAAUUUUGAGAGCAUACCUGCAAGCAUUAAACAACUAUCUGAGUUGAUACAGCUUUACUUAUUUGGUUGCAAGAG
RNAcentral lists this unclassified non-coding RNA (268 nucleotides) under Hevea brasiliensis (rubber tree). Lineage: Eukaryota; Viridiplantae; Streptophyta; Magnoliopsida; Malpighiales; Euphorbiaceae. The record is from RNAcentral.